GGACGACGCUGGCGGCGUGCCUAACACAUGCAAGUCGAGCGGGGACAUUGCGACGGAAUUGAAAUUUCGGAUGGAUAUGAAGAUGUAAUGUUCUAGCGGCGGACGGGUGAGUAACGCGUGAGCAACCUGUCCCUUACAGGGGGAUAACACAGCGAAAGUUGUACUAAUACCGCAUAAGACCACAGAGCGACAUCGCUUAGGGGUCAAAGGAGCAAUCCGGUAAGGGGUGGGCUCGCGUCCGAUUAGAUAGUUGGUGAGGUAACGGCCCACCAAGUCGACGAUCGGUAGCCGACCUGAGAGGGUGAUCGGCCACAUUGGGACUGAGACACGGCCCAAACUCCUACGGGAGGCAGCAGUGGGGAAUAUUGGGCAAAUGGGGGAAACCCUGACCCAGCAACGCCGCGUGAGGGAAGAAGGUUUUCGGAUCGUAAACCUCUGUCCUUGGUGAAGAGAAAGAGACGGUAGCCAAGGAGGAAGCCCCGGCUAACUACGUGCCAGCCGCGGC
RNAcentral lists this ribosomal RNA (505 nucleotides) under uncultured bacterium. Its description in RNAcentral is "bacterial SSU rRNA". It matches the Rfam family "Bacterial small subunit ribosomal RNA", at positions 33 to 518 of the family's 1533-position model. The record is from RNAcentral.